UCCGGAGAACCUAUCAGCUUCUCUGCCACUGUGGGCGCGUGCGAGUAUCUGCGUCAGGCACGGGUGCGUUGCCAGGCUCGUGGUGACAGAGACAAGGAUAGAGGUCCCUCACCACCUACACAGAAGCGUGUCGGAACAGCGAACACUCGUGCUGAGAGGGUUGCACACGAAAGGGGCGGCGAUUCAUCAACUCAUCUCUUCGUCGUCGAGAGCGGUAGCUUAGAGCGCCCGUUCUCUGUUUUGCUGGGCACACACACAUACACACAGAAACUUCACGGAUACCGAAGUCGGGGGUUGUCUGUGCUUAGCCAUGCUGCACUCACAUCGACUGACGCUGCCGCUUCCGCUGAUGCAGAGCGUCUGUGGGCGACUCUCAUUGCGGUCUACCCGCAACCGCGGUACAUGCCACCUGACUCUCGCCGCUGCUGCUCUUUGUGUAUCCCAUCGCUACCAGAGUAGCACUGGCCCGACUAUCGGUGACACCCGUGCCUCCGGACCGCAAGUGGCGUUUAGUAGCAAGACGGUGAAGCUAAAGUACGAGGAGGUGUGGCAGCUGUGGAAUGAAGGCAAUCUCUUCUCGCUGCAGGUGGCGCAGAUGCGGGACUUUCUGGCCGACGCGGGCAUCGCUGUCGAUCCGACGGCAAAGAAGGCGGCGGUAGUGCGACGCAUGGAGGAGUACCUGCACAGCAAAGACAGCGCCGAGCAGCGCGGCGGCGCCGCUGCCAUCUCUGGAGCUGCUCAAGGCGUCGGCAAGGAGAGCGAGCAGAGCUACGGCAACUGGGCUGGCGCAGGCGCGAUGCAGCCAGAGAAGCUGCUGGAUUUGGCCCAGGCAGGCUUCUAUCAAGGAACGGCAAACAUGGUUCCCAAGGCAUUUCAACUGCUCACGACGGGCAGCUGUGCCGAGGCCGUUGUCAGUCGCGUGAACACCUCCACCUUCCCGGGAUUCCCUGCCAACACAGAAUGCUACACCCUCUCCUCCUCGGAUGCGACCGGGGCCCUACAGACACGUUACAGCAAGGUGCUUCAAUGGUGUCUGCUAAACAUGAACAACCUCCGCAUGGAUGGCGAGCUUACCAUGGAAGUUGGAAAGCUACUGCUCACCCCCGCGGCGAUGCGGUACGGAGAGGCUGUCGUGUCCGCCUACACGCUGCAGCAGCGCCUCCAGCUGACGAAGCCGUACACAUGGAUCGCUGCGAUGCCGGAGAGCGCCAUUCCUCUUGUGGAGGCGUUCUUGAAAGAGCGUGGGUUCCAGCCCGUCAGUAAGAACGCGCGCCUCACCUAUGAGGGCGUCAUCAAGCGCGCCAAGGACAAGCUGGAGGUGGUGCUGAACGAGCAGAUGAAGGUGGAGGGGGUGUAUGGGGAGUGGGUGGAUGUGCAGACAGCCUUCUGCACCUCUGUGGAGAAGCCGGAUUGCCGCAUUCUGCUGCGCUCGCGCCCAGCCGUCAGCGCACAGGACCGCGAGACGUACACCCGCAUCCCUGUGAUUGAGCUCGCCGAUGAUGACGUGAGCGAUGUGCUGCCGCCGGAAAACGGCCAGCUUGUCUACCUGUCCGAGAACGAGACGCGUCACUUCGAGCGGCUUAACGACAAGGGCAUCGCCAUUGCUGUGCGAGAGACGAAGCGGCAGCCGCUCAUUGUGCUGCGGGACGAAGAAGAGGAUCCGCGUCUGGAGUACCAGAUUAGCGUCACCAUCCCGGCCAGCGCUGGCAGCCACUCCAUGGACGUUCGUGCGGUUGGCUUGGAGGUACUGGCCCUCUCCGAUGAGCUGUCAACUCUUCUGAAGGAGCCCUUCAACGAGGCGUACGGGUGCGCGCCAGCGCUCGACACCGGUAGCGUUGCCGCGACUGCAUAAGGGCCCACUCUGGGAGGAGAGAGAGCAGCGGUGCAGGAAACAAGAGCAGUGCGUGGGGCCUACAAAGUUGGGGGCGAGAUGCGAUUCUCCUUGGAGACGCGCGCACCCGACACGCUGGUUCCAGCCGCUUGCACAUGUCUGUGCACGGCGCACUCACGCGCUGCGCUGUGCCCUUCGUUUCCCCCCUCACUCACCACUCGCCUUGCGUUGCGGCUGGGUAUGUGACUGGCCAGCCUGCAUCUUAGAAGCUCAGAAGAGGCGGGAGAGGCGAGCCGGCAGAAAAAGUGGGGAGAACUCACAACGCAAAAGCCUCCGCUUCCGCUUCCUCGCCCACACCUCUCCCUUGGGAUGCCACACCCUCUGCACUCUGGAGUGUUGUCGAGAUGCGGCGGAACGUACGCAAGCGCUUUCUUUUUCGUUCGUCUUCGUCUUUUUCGAGAUAAAUGUUCCGACAGGGUCGGCUUUUCGACGGCCUCCUGGCUGAGCGCAGAGAUGCAUUCAAGGGCACUGACACGUGCAUGCGCAGACGUGGACGUGCAUUAUCUCAUUUGCAUGCCCGUGAAUUUGAGUUCUUUCUCUCUCUGUGCCGGUGUGCCGGCGCGUGUUGGGAUGGGUGGGUGGGGAUGCCCGCGUGUACCGCAGCAGAGGCGCGCCACUUCUGCCGUUUUUUUCUUGUCGUCUGUGUGUUCUGUUGCCUUGUGCUCCGUUUGUGUGAUACUGUUCGCGUUUGCAUUGCCCAGCUGCGCAUAUAUAUAUGUAUAUAUGUGUGUGUGUGUGGGAGUGGGAGUGGGAGUGGGGGUGGGAGUGGGAGUGGCUGGGUACGAGCGCCCGGCUUUGCUGAAAACGCUCCGUCUAUUGUCCCCCCUCCCCCUCUCCCCUUCCCUGCGGCUGCCGGUGUGGUUCGACGUUGCCUUGCGAGUGCGACGCUCGCCAAGCAAGAAAAAAGAAGGUUACACACAACACACGCGCACACGCACACAAGGGAAAGAGGGUCUCCACGACAUACGAAGGAGCGCACAGGGUACGAGGGCGGAGGAGAGAAUGUGUGUGUGUGCGUGCAUGGCGGUAGUGGUGAUAGUUGUUGCCUUUUCUGCGAUUUGUCUUAGUACUUCCUCACCUUUCAUCUCUCUAUACUUUCGCUCAAGGCCACUAUCAUGGGUUCUUCCUUGUCUUUCCGUGGUGGUGCGCGUCCCGCACACGUCUG
This 3056-nucleotide unclassified non-coding RNA is filed under the name Leishmania donovani. Its description in RNAcentral is "gene:LdHU3.22.0850(CDS-product:guide_RNA_associat ed_protein_GAP2_putative)". Lineage: Eukaryota; Euglenozoa; Kinetoplastea; Trypanosomatida; Trypanosomatidae. The record is from RNAcentral.